UAAUGCAUCGGAACGUGCUAGUCGUGAAGGAUAACUGCUCGAAAGAGCAGCUAAUAUGCAUACGACCCGAGAUGAAAGCGGCGGAGCGAAAGGCCUCGCGCGAUUGGAGCGGCCGAUGUCAGAUUAGGUAGUUGGUGGGGUAAAGGCCUACCAAGCCGACGAUCUGUAGUUGGUCUGAGAGGACGACCAGCCACACUGGGACUGAGACACGGCCCAGACUCCUACGGGAGGCAGCAGUGGGGAAUUUUGGACAAUGGGGGCAACCCUGAUCCAGCAAUGCCGCGUGCAGGAAGAAGGCCUUCGGGUUGUAAACUGCUUUUGUCAGGGAAGAAAUCCUGUGGGUUAAUACCUCGUGGGGAUGACGGUACCUGAAGAAUAAGCACCGGCUAACUACGUGCCAGCAGCCGCGGUAAUACGUAGGGUGCGAGCGUUAAUCGGAAUUACUGGGCGUAAAGCGUGCGCAGGCGGUUUUGUAAGACAGAGGUGAAAUCCCCCGGGCUCAACCUGGGAACUGCCUUUGUGACUGCAAGGCUGGAGUACGGCAGAAGGGGGAUGGAAUUCCGCGUGUAGCAGUGAAAUGCGUAGAUAUGCGGAGGAACACCGAUGGCGAAAGCAAUCCCCUGGGCCUGUACUGACGCUC
RNAcentral lists this ribosomal RNA (640 nucleotides) under uncultured bacterium. RNAcentral describes it as "bacterial SSU rRNA". It matches the Rfam family "Bacterial small subunit ribosomal RNA", at positions 111 to 748 of the family's 1533-position model. The record is from RNAcentral.